AAGCGUUGGCAACCAGACUCGCAUGCCGCUAAUCAUCCGGGGUUCUCCCCGGUGCACUUGGCGGCCUUCGGGCCAGCAUCGGUUUCGGUGGUGGGAUAAAGGCCUUGGGAAUGUAGCUUCUCUCGGGGAGUGUUAUAGCCCUCGGUGCAAUGCCGCCUACCGGGACCGAGGACCGCGCUUCGGCUAGGAUGCUGGCGUAAUGGUUGUCAACGG
RNAcentral lists this ribosomal RNA (213 nucleotides) under Hyaloscyphaceae sp. Its description in RNAcentral is "partial large subunit ribosomal RNA". Lineage: Eukaryota; Fungi; Ascomycota; Leotiomycetes; Helotiales; Hyaloscyphaceae. The record is from RNAcentral.